CAUUUUGAGGGUUUGAUCCUAGCUCAGGGUUAACGCUGGCGGUGUGCCUAACACAUGCAAGUCGAGCGACGAACUCGGGAAAUUUUGCGCAAGCGGAAUUUUCUGGGGGAAAGCGGCGGAUGGGUGAGUAACACCUGGGUAACCUACCUUCGGGAUCAGGAUAACUCGUCGAAAGGCGGGCUAAUACUGGAUAAUUACGGAGAAAUUCAUUUUUCCGUGGAAAGUUGUGUCCAAAAGACAUAACACCUGAAGAUGGGCCUGGGUCCUAUCAGCUUGUUGGCGGGGUAAAAGCCCACCAAGGCUAUGACAGGUAGCUGGUCUGAGAGGACGGCCAGCCACACGGGGAUUGAGAUACAGCCCCGACUCCUACGGGAGGCAGCAGUGAGGAAUUUUGGACAAUGCCCGCAAGGGUGAUCCAGCGACACCGCGUGGGUGAUGAAGGGCUUCGGCCUGUAAAACCCUGUCAAGUGGGAAGAAUGCUACCUUUUCAGGUAGUUUGACGGUACCACUGAAGGAAGCCCCGGCUAAUCCCGUGCCAGCAGCCGCGGUAAGACGGGAGGGGCAAGCGUUACCCGGAUUUACUGGGUGUAAAGGGUCUGUAGGCGGUCAAGUAUGUCGUAUCUGAAAUCCUCUGGCUCAACCAGAGAACAGGGUACGAAACUGCUUGAUUUUGAGUCUGGACGAGGGGAGCGGAACUGCCGGUGUAGCGGUGAAAUGCGUAGAUAUCGGCAGGAACACCAGUGGCGAAGGCGGCUCUCUAUUCCGGUACUGACGCUGAAAGACGAAAGCGUGGGGAGCAAACGGGAUUAGAUACCCCGGUAGUCCACGCCGUAAACGAUGGAUGCUGGGUGUCGGUCCGUUUAUCGGGUCGGUGCCGAAGCAAACGCGUUAAGCAUCCCACCUGGGAACUACGACCGCAAGGUUGAAACCCAAAGGAAUUGACGGGGGCCCGCACAACCGGUGGAGCAUGUGGUUUAAUUCGAUGGUACGCGAAGAACCUUACCUGGGCUUGACAUGCCGGUAGUACAGACCCGAAAGGGAAAGGAUCCUGACUUUGUCAGGAAGCCGGCACAGGUGGUGCAUGGCUGUCGUCAGCUCGUGCCGUGAGGUGUUGGGUUAAGUCCCGGAACGAGCGCAACCCUUGCCUGCAGUUACUCGCUUUAAAAGCAGCACUCUGCAGGGACUGCCGUGGUUAACACGGAGGAAGGUGGGGAUGACGUCAAGUCAUCACGCCCCUUAUGUCCAGGGCUACACACGUGCUACAAUGGCCGAUACAAAGGGAUGCGAAGCUGCGAGGCGGAGCAAAUCUCAAAAAGUCGGCCCCAGUUCAGAUUGCAGGCUGCAAUCCGCCUGCAUGAAGCUGGAAUCGGUAGUAAUCGCGGAUCAGCCAUGCCGCGGUGAAUACGUUCUCGGGCCUUGUACACACCGCCCGUCACGCCAGCUGAGUCGGGGGCGCUUGAAGAUGUCUUAAAGGCAUCCAGGGCGAAUCCGGCAAGGAGGGCGAAGUCGUAACAAGGCAGCCGUACCGGAAGGUGCGGCUGGAUCACCUCCUUU
Molecule: ribosomal RNA, 1554 nt
Filed under: Candidatus Omnitrophota bacterium
Lineage: Bacteria; Pseudomonadati; Candidatus Omnitrophota
Description: bacterial SSU rRNA
Rfam family: Bacterial small subunit ribosomal RNA
Source: RNAcentral